Molecule: ribosomal RNA, 253 nt
Filed under: uncultured bacterium
Lineage: Bacteria
Description: partial 16S ribosomal RNA
Rfam family: Bacterial small subunit ribosomal RNA
Source: RNAcentral
GACGAACCGUGCGAACGUUGUUCGGAAUCACUGGGCUUAAAGGGCGCGUAGGCGGGCAAGCAAGUCCGGGGUGAAAGCUUUCGGCUCAACCGGAAAAGGGCCUUGGAUACUGCUUGUCUGGAGGGAGGUAGGGGCAGAGGGAUCUUCCGGUGGAGCGGUGAAAUGCGUUGAUAUCGGAAGGAACGCCGGUGGCGAAAGCGCUCUGCUGGACCUCUUCUGACGCUGAGGCGCGAAAGCCAGGGGAGCAAACGGG